Molecule: ribosomal RNA, 277 nt
Filed under: uncultured bacterium
Lineage: Bacteria
Description: partial 16S ribosomal RNA
Rfam family: Bacterial small subunit ribosomal RNA
Source: RNAcentral
GAUGAACGCUGGCGGUAUGCUUAACACAUGCAAGUCGAACGGACUCUUCGGAGUUAGUGGCGGACGGGUGAGUAACGCGUGAGAAUCUGCCUACAGAUUGGGGACAACGUCGGGAAACUGACGCUAAUACCGAAUGUGCCGAGAGGUGAAAGAUUUAUCGUCUGUAGAUGAGCUCGCGUCUGAUUAGCUAGUUGGGGCGGUAACGGCGCACCAAGGCGACGAUCAGUAACUGGUCUGAGAGGAUGACCAGUCACACUGGGACUGAGACACGGCCCAG